RNAcentral lists this long non-coding RNA (626 nucleotides) under Androctonus crassicauda. Lineage: Eukaryota; Metazoa; Arthropoda; Arachnida; Scorpiones; Buthidae. The record is from RNAcentral.
GGGUAACAGUGCUGUAGCGGCUUGGCAGAGUUGCGGAGUUUUGAAGGUAUAUUAAAUGUAAAAAUAAAGAUAAAAAUAAAACUGUACAUGUAAAAUAAAUUAGAAACAUUCCACAGACCACAAGACCUAGAGACCAAAAUAAUGUAUAUAUACAACGUUGGCCAUCAGCACAGCUAUGGAAGAGGCAUCGUAAAAAGAAUCCAUACUAAAGUCCAGCAAACUUUAAGAGAAGAACCCACUAGUGCACUUAGCCCAAACACAAGCAGAGUCAACAAAAAAGAAUAUCUCCUCUUACCAUACUUUGUGAUCAAACUCAACUCCAUCAAAAUGUUAACGAAAAAAGUGGGGAAAAACUGGCAUACUUUAGGCCACUGACUGUGUUUAACAGACUUAGGAAUGAGAAAGAAAGAAGAGACAACUGACAAAAAUCAGGUGUCUAUAAGAUUCUAGCCAAGUACAACAACUCCCAGCAACAGAUGGCGUACUUAGGGGUAACUUUACAACAAAGAAUAGAUGAACAUAAGAAGGAUAUAUUGCAAAGUCGCAAUUUCUAUCGACUCUAAUAUCAAUAAUAACUACUGAAACCUAACGGUUAAAUGACUCUGCAAAAUCCAGAUUUCUGCCUG